This is a long non-coding RNA of Solanum verrucosum, 146 nucleotides long. RefSeq lists it as uncharacterized. The record is from RefSeq and is a predicted model, not a curated record. The transcript is spliced from 2 exons. NCBI's taxonomy places the organism in Eukaryota, Viridiplantae, Streptophyta, Magnoliopsida, Solanales, Solanaceae.
AAACAAUUUCGCCAUUUUUGUACUCACAAUCUCUUCCCUAUUCUCUCUGCUCCGAUUAACCUGAAGCUUCUCUCUCCGACGAACAAAUGGAUGGGCAGGAUGCAGAUAAUACAAAACAAAGCACCGCUGAUAUGACUGUAUUUGUA